Small nucleolar RNA from Populus nigra (black poplar), 138 nucleotides. RefSeq annotates it as small nucleolar RNA Z247. The transcript has a single exon. The record is from RefSeq and is a predicted model, not a curated record. NCBI's taxonomy places the organism in Eukaryota, Viridiplantae, Streptophyta, Magnoliopsida, Malpighiales, Salicaceae.
ACCUCUCAUAAUGAUGAUAUCAUCAUUUAUAUUCUUGUUGGACUUGGCCAGGAGUAUGAUUCCCUAACCUCCACCAUUUCCUCAUGACUUGAUCCUGUCAGUUUGGAGGAACUCUUUUCUCUGCUUCUCAUAUGUGAA